Long non-coding RNA from Mus musculus (house mouse), 3653 nucleotides. RefSeq annotates it as predicted gene, 51568. Lineage: Eukaryota; Metazoa; Chordata; Mammalia; Rodentia; Muridae. The transcript has 2 exons. The record is from RefSeq and is a predicted model, not a curated record.
CUUUUUCUCCCCGCGCGCGCGCGGUAGGACGGCGGCGGGAGAGAGCCCGGGAGGCGAGCGAUUUGGGGAAGUGGGCGUGGGUAGCCCGCAGGUUCGAAAAUGGUGCUGCGCCGGUUGCCUGGGAUGCGCGCGUGAAGCUGCCCUAAUUAGUGUUUGCUGCAAGUUCUAAGGUCUUUCCUCCCAGUAACUCAAAAUCUAUUUACUUUUUUUCCCCCACUGUAGCAGAAGCUGCUUUGACAACGACCAGUGUAGUCUAUGUAUGCCCUUCUGCAGAUGCGUUCCUAGGGUCUAGAUUCCACAACGCUGAAAUCUACAGGAUUGCAUCCUUUCCAAUGCUGUUUGGCAUUUGGGGACGUUUUUAAAAAUCAUUUUCAUUCGUCUCCACCCCCCCCCCUUGUGUUUAUGGGUGUUUUACCUGCGAGCAUGUCUGCACCGCGUGUGUGCAGUACCCCAGGGAGGCUGAAGAGAGCGUUGUCCCUGGGAUUGGAGUUAGAACCCAACAUGGGAGUUGCCAUGUGGGUGUUUUUGAGAGGCGAAGGAAGAAACUACCAUUCCAACUUAAGUGUCUGGGCAAGAUGAACUUUACUCUUUAUCAAGCGGGUAUGCUCGAAGAGUGAAUACAUACAAGUCAGGAAGUGUGUUUGGUGAUUAUUUUAACUUAGGGUGUGGCCUGUGUGUGUCUCUUCCUCCUGAUUUGAGGUCCCGUUGUUUCACAGCCUGAUUUGAUUGGCUAGUCUGAAAAGAAUUGGUGCACAGGAAGUGGAGGAUGGGGAAAGGGGCCAUUGGAAUAAAGGAGCAGUUCUUUGAGUAAACAGUAGUUUUUCUGGAUCUGAAGGAUCGAAACAUUUUCAUUAAAAGUCUCACAAGGUGGAGGAAGAUAAAAAGAUUUCAAUUCUUUGUCUUAAACCCAAGUUUUAUAGUAUCCAUAGAAAAGACUUGUGGUGGUUUAAAUAUGCUUGGCCCAGGGAGUGGCACUAUUAGUAGAUGUGGCCUUGUUGGAGGAAGUCUGUCACUGUGGGCAUGAGCUUUAAGACCCUCAUUCAUGCUGGCUGCCUGAAAGUCAGUCUUCUCCUGUUUGCAUUUGGAGCAAGAUGUUGAACUCUCAGCUUCUCCUGUACCAUGCCUGCCUGGAUGGUGCCAUGCUCCCACUUUGAUGAUAAUGGACUGAACCUCUGAACCUAUAAGCCAGCCCCAAUUAAACGCUAUCCUUCUAAGAGUUGCCUUGGUCAUGGUUAAACACUUGUCAUAAGACAAGACUCUUACUUGGUAUUUCUCACACACUGGCGAUUGAACCGGGGUCUCUAAAAAGGCAGCCAGUGCAUCUAACCAUAAAAAGAAGAAAAAUCACUUUUCCAGUCUCAAAUUCUGCUUGCUUAUUUUUAAAAAUAUUUUAUGCUAUUCCAUGUAUAUGAGUAUUUUGUCUACAUGUGCAUCUAUGUACACUUCAUGUAUGUGAAGCGCCAACAGAAGCCAAAAGGUGUGAGACUCCCUGGGAUUGGAUUCGGAUGUCAGCUGCCAUGUGGGUGCAGGGAACUGAAACCCAGCCCUCUGUAAGAGUUCUGUGAAAAACGUCAAUGACAUUUUGCAGGAUACAUUGAAUUUGAGGUUCCCCUAGCACACCUUUAGUGAAUGCCUUUAAGAAACAAACACAUGAGAGUCACGGAGUUGAGAAGACCCACUCAAAAUUUGGGUCAUGCCCUCUAAUGGCAGCCUACAUGAAAGGACCUGGAAAAUGGAAGAUUGUGCCCUUUGCUUGCUUGCCUGUCUAUCUGUCCUGUCUAUCUGUCCUGCUGCUGAGGCACUGUUUUCCUAGAUGGGACUCCAACAAGACUGAAGACCAGCUGACAUCCUAGUAGACUGAACUGCUACAGGAAUCCUGACCUUUCAUCAGCCAUUGUUGGACAUUUCAGACCAUAUCUGUAAACCACUCUAAUCAAUUCGUGUGUGUUGGUGUAACUUAACAUAGUCAGUUUAAAGAUUGUAGGCAGCAGCAUCCCAUGAGUUGGAGUCCUGGGCUUCGUAAAGUGGAGAAAGCAAGUGGAACACCAGAAUUCAUCUCUUUGCUUCCUUACGCCCAGUUCUCCCACUGCCAUAGCUAGAACCAUCUAGUACCACAUCACUGACUACAGUAUGUUAUACCUCAAAACUCUUCCAAAAUAAGCUGUUUAUAAGAAACAUCAAGUUAUUUGGAAAAUUGUAGGGUUUCUCCUGUUGCAAAUUGUACACAUGCGCAUUAAAGUGAGCAAAGGGGUUACAUCUUUAAAUAUCAACACAGAGAGGGCAGAGACAGGCAGAUCCCUGUGAGUUCAGGGCCUACUCUGCUCUACAUAGUGAGUUCCAGGCCAGCCAGGGUUUCAUACUGACACCUUUCCUGAGAGAGAGAGAGAGAGAGAGAAAGAGAGAGAGAGAGAGAGAGAGAGAGAGAGAGAGAGAGAGAGAGAGAGAGAGAGCUGUUUGUGUCAUUCGUUAGUGGUGUGUGUGUGUGUGUGUAUCCUCUUGUAUCCCUGCCUUGCUCCUUACCCACCUGUGGCAGGAGGGAGAGAGCCAUCCCUGCCUCCUACUGGCUGCAGCACCCGAGAGCAGAACCCACGCUCCUGGGCAGCACAGUAGAGCUGCCCUGAUGGUGCAGGCACAGGUGAUCUGGCCCCAAGGACAGGCAGUCUGGAGAGCUGACCCUGCCCCUUGUUGGCUCCAGUGCUGGGUGAGUUAGCUGGGGCGGUGCUGGAGAGCUCACCCUGGUGGUGGGAUGUGGAAUAUCUGCUAGGCUGACCAACUCAGCCACCUCCCAGGCCCAGAUCCGGGGCUUUGAGUUGGCCAACCCUAAGAUCUACCCCAUCUGUGACCUGCUGGAAAGGGCCAGCCCUGCAGAACCAAAGCUGCAGGCUCUCCAUGACGCAGGGCAACAACAGGAUAUCUGAGAGGAGGCCUGGUGAGGAUCCAGUAUUGAUAGUGUAGCAGAAGCCAGAGGCCUCUAAUCAGGCCAAUGCCUCACUGCAAUGAACAUUGGCAAGUAAAGGCCUGUGGAUACACAUUCGGGGACACACUGACAUAUUACAGCUUCCACGACAAGAUUUUUUUAAAAUAAUUUUUUAUUCUAUCUUUUCUUUUGUGGGGGAGGUUGUAAGGGCAAAGGGUAGAUAUGAAUAAAUGGGCAGAUGAAUAGGAUUGGGGUGCAUACUAAGAAAUUCACAAAGAAUGAAUAAUUUUUUUAAAAAAAGGAAAAGAAAGAAAGCAAGAAAAACCUGUAUUGUAUCGAAGUUGAACACAACUGGAGCUCAAGUAAAACUGAUCAGAAAGUUCUUUAAGUGCCAGCAGAGGGCAGUCCACCCCAAACUUCUACUUUUGAAGUUUAGUAAUCGGUUUUCCUAAUUCAAAGUACUAACAGGCUUUCAGUCUGUUGAAAAUUGAUAAGCACACAGUCAGAGAAGAUUUGCUUAGCAUUCGAGGAGCUCUAGGUUCAAUCUUCCAUAACCCCCGCCAAAAGAACUAUUAGUCAGGUUUGGCCAGUAGAAAAUUUAUAUGGAAGUGUUCAAAUGUUUUCAAAGGUUUAUUACUUAUUUUAUAUUCUUACAUUAGAUAGCAAAUUAAUUAAUUUUACUAUGUGUUGUGAUGGAUGCUGUUGUUUAUGAUUGGAAUAAAAUCUUUUCCUUAUA